UACGAAGGGGGCUAGCGUUGUCCGGAAUCACUGGGCGUAAAGGGCGCGUAGGCGGCAUGCCAAGCGUGUGGUGAAAGCCCGGGGCUCAACCCCGGGUCGGCCGUGCGGACUGGCGUGCUCGAGCACUGUAGGGGCGGGUGGAAUUCCGGGUGUAGCGGUGGAAUGCGUAGAGAUCCGGAAGAACACCGGUGGCGAAGGCGGCCCGCUGGGCAGGAAGGCUCGCAAGAGCCGGCUGACGCUGAGGCGCGACAGCGUGGGGAGCAAACAGG
Molecule: ribosomal RNA, 269 nt
Filed under: uncultured bacterium
Lineage: Bacteria
Description: partial 16S ribosomal RNA
Rfam family: Bacterial small subunit ribosomal RNA
Source: RNAcentral